Molecule: long non-coding RNA, 132 nt
Organism: Pelmatolapia mariae (spotted tilapia)
Lineage: Eukaryota; Metazoa; Chordata; Actinopteri; Cichliformes; Cichlidae
Exons: 3
Source: RefSeq, a predicted model, not a curated record
UAGACAUCCUGGCAGCUUACAAUUAGUUCGAGGUGAGACACUGAAUUUGAGCAGAAACCAUAAGGAUACUCAAAGGACCUGUGACUCUCAGGAAAUGCAUCAAAUGAGAGGGACAGAUGAAACAGUUUCAAG